RNAcentral lists this ribosomal RNA (465 nucleotides) under Vreelandella stevensii. RNAcentral's name for it is "partial 16S ribosomal RNA". It matches the Rfam family "Bacterial small subunit ribosomal RNA", at positions 338 to 795 of the family's 1533-position model. The record is from RNAcentral. Lineage: Bacteria; Pseudomonadati; Pseudomonadota; Gammaproteobacteria; Oceanospirillales; Halomonadaceae.
CCUACGGGAGGCUGCAGUGGGGAAUAUUGGACAAUGGGGGGAACCCUGAUCCAGCCAAGCCGCGUGUGUGAAGAAGGCCCUCGGGUUGUAAAGCACUUUCAGUGAGGAAGAACGCCUGGUGGUUAAUACCCAUCAGGAAAGACAUCACUCACAGAAGAAGCACCGGCUAACUCCGUGCCAGCAGCCGCGGUAAUACGGAGGGUGCGAGCGUUAAUCGGAAUUACUGGGCGUAAAGCGCGCGUAGGUGGCUUGAUAAGCCGGUUGUGAAAGCCCCGGGCUCAACCUGGGAACGGCAUCCGGAACUGUCAAGCUAGAGUGCAGGAGAGGAAGGUAGAAUUCCCGGUGUAGCGGUGAAAUGCGUAGAGAUCGGGAGGAAUACCAGUGGCGAAGGCGGCCUUCUGGACUGACACUGACACUGAGGUGCGAAAGCGUGGGUAGCAAACAGGAUUAGAUACCCUGGUAGUC